UGAAGCGGGAAGAGCUCAAGCUGAAAAUCUUCGGAAUUGUAGUCUAUAGGUGCGGACUCGUGUGAGGCCGGGUAUAAAUCCGUUCUUGGAACUGGGUGCCAGAGAGGGUUAGAGCCCCGUCUUUGACUCGGUACCUCACGCGUGGCGAGUACUCACCAGAGAGUCGGCUUGCUUGGGAAUGCAGGUCAAAAUGGGUGGUAAACUUCAUCUAAAGCUAAAUAUUGGCGAGAGACCGAUAGCGAACAAGUACUGUGAAGGAAAGAUGGAAAGAACUUUGAAAAGAGAGUGAAAAGGGCUUGAAAUUGUUAAGAGGAUAAGUGAUUGGAGCAUAUCAUACCUGGCGGGGUCCCGGGGUUGGGACUUGUCCUGGCUCUUACCAUCCCGUCCGGUUGGUCAGCAUCAGUUCUGGCUCGAGGAGAAUGCGGGAGCCGCUGAGCCCUUCGGGGUGAUCGGUUGCUGUGAAACUCGGGGCGGGUCUGAGGCAGAAAGAGCACGCUUGGCGGCCGGCCCUUCUCCCCUGUGUCGUGCGUUGUUACACGCUUCGGAUGUGUGGCGCGUGCGGGGCUUGAUGAGGGGGGUGCAGGACCUGUGCUCUCAAGAUGCUGGCACAAAUGGCUUCAAUCAGCCCGUCUUGAAACACGGACCAAGGAGUCUAACACAUAUGCGAGUAGUAAGGUGGCAAACCUUGGAUGCGCAAUGAAAGUAAACGUAGGUGGGAUCCGCAAGGUGCACCAUCGACCGACCAGGAUCAUUAGUGAAAGGUUUGAGUAAGAGCAUAUUUGUUGGGACCCGAAAGAUGGUGAACUAUGCCUGAAUAGGGUGAAGCCGGAGGAAACUCCGGUGGAGGCUCGUAGCGGUACUGACGUGCAAAUCGUUCGUCAAAUUUGGGUAUAGGGGCGAAAGACUAAUCNAACCAUCUAGUAGCUGGUU
This 930-nucleotide ribosomal RNA is filed under the name Proteomonas sulcata. Its description in RNAcentral is "partial large subunit ribosomal RNA". It matches the Rfam family "Eukaryotic large subunit ribosomal RNA", at positions 94 to 956 of the family's 3401-position model. Lineage: Eukaryota; Cryptophyceae; Pyrenomonadales; Geminigeraceae. The record is from RNAcentral.